Molecule: ribosomal RNA, 525 nt
Filed under: uncultured bacterium
Lineage: Bacteria
Description: bacterial SSU rRNA
Rfam family: Bacterial small subunit ribosomal RNA
Source: RNAcentral
AGGGUUCGAUUAUGGCUCAGGAUGAACGCUAGCGGCAGGCCUAACACAUGCAAGUAGAACGGUAACAGAGAGAGCUUGCUCUCUGCUGACGAGUUGCGAACGGGUGCGUAACGCGUAUGCAACCUACCCAUAACAGGGGGAUAGCCCAUAGAAAUGUGGAUUAAUACCCCAUAACAUCAUAGAUUGGCAUCAUGAAAUGAUUAAAACUCCGGUGGUUAUGGAUGGGCAUGCGUGACAUUAGCUAGUUGGUGAGGUAACUGCUCACCAAGGCUACGAUGUCUAGGGGUUCUGAGAGGAUGAUCCCCCACACUGGUACUGAGACACGGACCAGACUCCUACGGGAGGCAGCAGUGAGGAAUAUUGCGCAAUGGAGGAAACUCUGACGCAGCCAUGCCGCGUGCAGGAAGACUGCCCUAUGGGUUGUAAACUGCUUUUAUAUAGGAAGAACUACAGCUACGUGUAGCUGUUUGACGGUACUAUACGAAUAAGGACCGGCUAACUCCGUGCCAGCCGCCGCGGUAAUAC